CCAAUAGCGUAUAUUAAAGUUGUUGCAGUUAAAAAGCUCGUAGUUGAAUUUCGGGGUCAUCAGGUUGGUCGUGCCACUGGUAUGCACUGGCCUUGGUGAUUCCUCCUUCUUGUAGAGCCGUGAUGCCAUUAAUUUGGUGUUGCGGGGAAACAGGACUGUUACUUUGAAAAAAUUAGAGUGUUUAAAGCAGGCUCACGCUUGAAUACAUUAGCAUGGAAUAAUAAAAUAGGACGUUCGAUCCUAUUUUGUUGGUUUCUAGGGUUGACGUAAUGAUUAAUAGGGACAGUUGGGGGCAUUAGUAUUCAAUUGUCAGAGGUGAAAUUCUUGGAUUUAUUGAAGACUAACUACUGCGAAAGCAUUUGCCAAGGAUGUUUUCAUUAAUCAAGAACGAAAGUUAGGGGAUCGAAGACGAUCAGAUACCGUCGUAGUCUUAACCAUAAACUAUGCCGACUAGGGAUCGGAUGAUGUUAAUUUUUUAAUGACUCAUUCGGCGCCUUACG
This 500-nucleotide ribosomal RNA is filed under the name uncultured Glomeromycotina. Its description in RNAcentral is "partial small subunit ribosomal RNA". It matches the Rfam family "Eukaryotic small subunit ribosomal RNA", at positions 591 to 1092 of the family's 1831-position model. The record is from RNAcentral. Lineage: Eukaryota; Fungi; Glomeromycota.